GACGAACGCUGGCGGCAUGCCUAACACAUGCAAGUCGAGCGAGCUGAUCCCUUCGGGGUGAAGCUAGCGGCGGACGGGUGAGUAACACGUGGGCAACCUGCCUCAUAGAGGGGAAUAGCCUCCCGAAAGGGAGAUUAAUACCGCAUAAGAUUGUAGCUUCGCAUGAAGUAGCAAUUAAAGGAGCAAUCCGCUAUGAGAUGGGCCCGCGGCGCAUUAGCUAGUUGGUGAGGUAACGGCUCACCAAGGCGACGAUGCGUAGCCGACCUGAGAGGGUGAUCGGCCACAUUGGGACUGAGACACGGCCCAGACUCCUACGGGAGGCAGCAGUGGGGAAUAUUUCACAAUGGGGGAAACCCUGAUGCAGCAAUGCCGCGUGAGUGAUGACGGCCUUCGGGUUGUAAAGCUCUGUCUUCAGGGACGAUAAUGACGGUACCUGAGGAGGAAGCCACGGCUAACUACGUGCCAGCCGCCGCCGUAA
This 478-nucleotide ribosomal RNA is filed under the name uncultured bacterium. RNAcentral's name for it is "partial 16S ribosomal RNA". It matches the Rfam family "Bacterial small subunit ribosomal RNA", at positions 28 to 523 of the family's 1533-position model. The record is from RNAcentral.